GGGGAUGUAGCGGAGGGGUUACCGCGCCUAGUUUGCAUGUUGAUAAGAUUGUUGCUCUAGGAGGUCCAGGGUUCAAAUCCCUGCGUCUCCA
Molecule: transfer RNA, 91 nt
Filed under: Tremellales sp. Tagirdzhanova-0007
Lineage: Eukaryota; Fungi; Basidiomycota; Tremellomycetes; Tremellales
Rfam family: tRNA
About the family: Transfer RNA (tRNA) molecules are approximately 80 nucleotides in length. Their secondary structure includes four short double-helical elements and three loops (D, anti-codon, and T loops). Further hydrogen bonds mediate the characteristic L-shaped molecular structure. tRNAs have two regions of fundamental functional importance: the anti-codon, which is responsible for specific mRNA codon recognition, and the 3' end, to which the tRNAs corresponding amino acid is attached (by aminoacyl-tRNA synthetases). tRNAs cope with the degeneracy of the genetic code in two manners: having more than one tRNA (with a specific anti-codon) for a particular amino acid; and 'wobble' base-pairing, i.e. permitting non-standard base-pairing at the 3rd anti-codon position.
Source: Rfam by way of RNAcentral